GGAAACUGGGUCUAAUACCGGAUACGACCAAUCUCCGCAUGGGGUGUUGGUGGAAAGCGUUAUGUAGUGGUUAUAGAUGGGCUCACGGCCUACCAGCUUGUUGGUGAGGUAACGGCUCACCAAGGCGACGACGGGUAGCCGGCCUGAGAGGGUGACCGGCCACACUGGGACUGAGACACGGCCCAG
RNAcentral lists this ribosomal RNA (186 nucleotides) under uncultured Actinomycetales bacterium. RNAcentral describes it as "partial 16S ribosomal RNA". It matches the Rfam family "Bacterial small subunit ribosomal RNA", at positions 152 to 334 of the family's 1533-position model. The record is from RNAcentral. Lineage: Bacteria; Bacillati; Actinomycetota; Actinomycetes; Actinomycetales.